This 67-nucleotide transfer RNA is filed under the name Opisthotropis guangxiensis. Its description in RNAcentral is "tRNA-Thr". It matches the Rfam family "tRNA". From Rfam's summary of the family: Transfer RNA (tRNA) molecules are approximately 80 nucleotides in length. The record is from RNAcentral. Lineage: Eukaryota; Metazoa; Chordata; Lepidosauria; Squamata; Natricidae.
GCUCAAGUAGCUUAAUAAUUUAAAGCAUUGUUCUUGUAAACCAAAGACGGACUUAAUCCCUAGAGCA